This 32-nucleotide non-coding RNA is filed under the name Mus musculus (house mouse). Lineage: Eukaryota; Metazoa; Chordata; Mammalia; Rodentia; Muridae. The record is from RNAcentral.
UUGUGCUUGAGUAUGUAUAACUACUGAUCAGU